GAACGCUGGCGGCGUGUCCUGAGACAUGCAAGUCGUGGGAGAAAGUCGUAGCAAUACGGCAAGUAAACCGGCGCACGGGUGAGUAACACGUGGAUAACCUGCCUUAGAGUCUGGGAUAACCCGUCGAAAGACGAGCUAAUACCGGAUAAGACCACGGGAAGUUCGCUUCCUGAGGUAAAAGAUGGCCUCUGCUCCUGCAAGCUAUCACUUUGAGAGGGGUCCGCGUCCUAUCAGCUAGUUGGCGAGGUAACGGCUCACCAAGGCUAAGACGGGUAGCUGGUCUGAGAGGAUGGUCAGCCGGACUGGGACUGAGACACGGCCCAGACUCCUACGGGGGGCAGCAAUUAGGAAUCUUGCGCAAUGGGCGAAAGCCUGACGCAGCGACGCCGCGUGACUGAUGAAGUCUUUCGGGAUGUAAAGGUCUUU
RNAcentral lists this ribosomal RNA (426 nucleotides) under uncultured bacterium. RNAcentral describes it as "bacterial SSU rRNA". It matches the Rfam family "Bacterial small subunit ribosomal RNA", at positions 31 to 436 of the family's 1533-position model. The record is from RNAcentral.